AGAACGCUGGCGGCGUGCCUAAUACAUGCAAGUCGAACGAGAAAGUGUAGCAAUACAUUAGUAAAGUGGCAGACGGGUGAGUAAUACAUAGGUAACCUACCUCUAAGAUGGGGAUAACCUUCCGAAAGGAGGGCUAAUACCGAAUGAGACUACAGUUACAUUAGUGACAGAGGUCAAAGAUGGCCUCUACUUGUAAGCUAUCGCUUAGAGAUGGGCUUAUGCACCAUUAGCCUGUUGGUGAGGUAACGGCUCACCAAAGCUAUGAUGGUUAGCUGAUCUGAGAGGUUGAUCAGCCACACUGGAACUGAGACACGGUCCAGACUCCUACGGGAGGCAGCAGUAGGGAAUAUUGCGCAAUGGAGGAAACUCUGACGCAGCGACGCCGCGUGGGUGACGAAGGUCUUCGGAUCGUAAAGCCCUGUCGGAAGGGAAGAAAAUCGGUAUGGCUAAUAUCUUUACCGCUUGACGGUACCUUUAAAGGAAGCACCGGCUAACUACGUGCCAGCAGCCGCGGUAAUACGUAGGGUGCUAGCGUUGUUCGGAAUCAUUGGGCGUAAAGCGCGUGUANGUUGUCAGUUUAGUCGGGUGUGAAAUC
Molecule: ribosomal RNA, 595 nt
Filed under: uncultured bacterium
Lineage: Bacteria
Description: bacterial SSU rRNA
Rfam family: Bacterial small subunit ribosomal RNA
Source: RNAcentral